AUGCCUGUAAUAUCUCCUUCGAUGAUUCCAAGAGGACAAAGAAUUAAACGUUUCUGUCCGACAUGUAAUUGCAAAGGCACGCUUGAUCUUUAGAAUUUUGCUUGAACCUUUGCAUCGAAAGAAGUUACUCUCUGGAAUUAAAUUUGUGCUUUCCCACAUCUGAAUUCUGAAAUAUACCCUAAAAAAGGAAGCGAGUACAGCGAGGCGAGAAUUUAGUACGUUUAGCAAUUUGCCCAGUACGGAAAUCUCCUGUGCAGUACACGGUCAGUCCGGUUCAAGAUUGAGAUGCUAGUACGUGUGUACUAUAUUUUUAUAUACUCUCGAGGAACUUAUAAGGGUUCCAAGUCAAUGCAAGUAUGGAUCAAAAUCUGGGGAAAUGAGGGCUUGUGUUGGCGAAUUCUGGGCAGGGAUUGAAGGGAAGAGCGAAGGGCAUUUGGGUGUCGAUGUUUUGAGGUAAAGAGGGGACAGAGCAGAGGCUGGGAAGAGGCAGAGCAUGGAUUGAGCUAUUGACAGGGACAGGGACUGUUUUGGCUCGACCCUGCACUGCCUCUUCCCUGGCUGUUGCCUCCUUCCUCUGCUUCUCCUCCCCCCCCCUAUUUUAUGAGUAAGGAUAAGAGUUUAUUUUUGCUUUCUUUUCAUUUUCUUUUUCACUUUGUUUGAUGUUGUUGUCCGUGGAAAUGGGAGAUGAGAAUGUCGCCACGGGUUGAGAAUCUCCUGAUGUGGCACAAGACUAUUUGCUGGUGGAGAUGAGAACGGUCUUCAGGUAAAGAUUGUGCAAAGUUGAUUCUAGCACGGUGUCGGAGAGGAUAUGGUGGUUGAUUUCGGAGCAAGAACGAAGUAGCAGGAACCUUGGUCUGGAGCUUGAGAAGGAGCAGCUUCUGCCAACCAGUCCGACCCUUCUGUCAUCUCAUUUGACUUUCGUGUAGGAUUGUGUUCCAUGCUAACCAGCAAUCCGGCUUUGAACAAAGCAAGGUGAAAUCUUUUUGGGCAUUGAUACAUCAGCAUAAGCAGGGUUUAAGGGAGAACACAGCCAGGAGCGUAGCGGACUACACCAACCAAUUUCCAUGGGCUGUUGAUGAUGAAGGACCGCCGUUUCAGAAACAUUCUCAUGCAUAUUUUUUUCUUUUGGAAUGUAGACUCUGUACAUUGGUGGACAGAUGAUGAAUUGUUAAAUCAUAGUUUUGAUGCCUUGGGAGCUAAGAUUUUGCUCGAAGAAAUAUCAUGCUCUCCUCUUAUCUUGCAAUUAGAUGAAUGAAUGCACACUUAUUGACA
Molecule: long non-coding RNA, 1272 nt
Organism: Syzygium oleosum
Lineage: Eukaryota; Viridiplantae; Streptophyta; Magnoliopsida; Myrtales; Myrtaceae
Exons: 2
Source: RefSeq, a predicted model, not a curated record